Molecule: long non-coding RNA, 713 nt
Organism: Corticium candelabrum
Lineage: Eukaryota; Metazoa; Porifera; Homoscleromorpha; Homosclerophorida; Plakinidae
Exons: 3
Source: RefSeq, a predicted model, not a curated record
CAUAACAGCCAUCGUUAAUGUUUCCAGCGUCCUCUUCACAUCAUCUUGAAAGAAAAGCAGAUACAAAAGUGCGCAUGCUCUUUUGCUAUGCUAAUACGGGACUUGAGUGAACAGUUUGGAGAAUUGAGAAUACCGGCUGCCGGAGAAUAGACGUCGUGUUGCAUUCUAUUUGUUGUUAUGCUUGUCCACUUCUCAUAUUGGAUUGUAUUCUGAAUUACUAUCUACUUGCCUACCCGGAAAUGGAGCGUCUGAAUUAAUCCUCCAGAGCAUAUUGCAAAGCAGAAAAAUUAUCAGUAAAAGCAAAGAAACAGGAAGUUGUCAAGGAGAAGAAGAAAGACAUUUGGAGAGACUUAGAUGAAGAACACUAUAUUAUCACAGAAAAUCUGGACGAAAAGAUUGCAGAAGCAUUGGAAAAUCCUAGGGCCUUCAACUUUGCGCUCACUCUAUUAGGUGAAGGGCUGACUGCAGAACCAAGAAAACACGACUUAUUGCCAGUACAAGGAUGAUAAUAGUGAUGUUUUGAUUACUAAUUUAUUCUGUAUCUAGACUUGUGUGAUCAGUAGCUAUAACAUUUAUAUUUACAUUUUGUGAUGUUGAAAUGAGCAAUUGUAGUGCAUAUUGCAUUUUGUGUUAUCUAAAUACCUCAAAUGCUGUUCCUUUGCUGUUCUAGAUUAUUUGUAUUGAGCAGGUUAUGUUAAUUGUAUGAAACGAGA